AUUUUUUAUUUUAUUUUAUAAAAAUAUUUUUGUUUUUAGUAUUUUAGAAUUAAUAUUUUUUUAUUAUAGUUAAUUUAACUGUGAAGGUUUAUGAUUUUUUUUAUAUAAGUAUUUAUUUUAAGUACCUUUUGCAUCAGGGUUUAUUAAUUUAAAAAAUUUAUUUCUUUUUCCCGAAACUUUAAGAUUUAAAAUAUAAUGUUUUUUAUUGUUUCAUAAAUAUUUAAAAUUUUAUUUUAGAGGUGAAAUGCUUUUCAAUUAAGGUUAUAUCUGGUUUAUUAAUAAUUGAAUUUAAUUCAACCCAUUUUGGCUUAAUUUUAAUUUUAUUAUUAUAAGUUUUUUUGGGCAAACAAUUUAAGGAUAAGCUUAGGUUGUUUUUUAAAAAUAUUGUUUUUUUAAGAUUUUUUUUAGGAUUGAUAAUUUUCAUUUUUAUUUUGUUAUAAUUAUUUUUCUUUUUUUAAAAUUUUUGUUUUUUUAGUUUUUUAUUAAUAAUUUUUCUUUAAUUUUUUUUGUAAAGUUAUUAUGAUAAAAUUAGUAAUUUUUUUAAUUUGGUUAUUGGAACUCGGCAAAAUUAAUUUUCACCUGUUUAACAAAAACAUGGUUUUUUGAUUUUUAUUUAAGAUCAGGCCUGCCCGUUGAUUAUAAAUAUUGAAAGGCUGCGGUAUUUUAACUGUACGAAGGUAGCAUAAUCAUUUGUCUUUUAAUUGAAGGCUAGUAUGAAUGGUUUGAUGAAAUAUUGACUUUCUUUGAUUAAUUAAUUUGAAUUUAAUUUUUUAGUUAAAAAGCUAAAAUUUUUUUAUAGGACGAGAAGACCCUAUAGAAAUUUAUUUUUAAUAUAAGGUAUUAUUUUUUGUUUUUAAAUUAAUUUUUUAGAAUUAAAAAUUUUGUUGGGGCGACAGUAAAAUUUAUUUAACUUUUAUUUUUGUUUUUCAUUUAUUUAUGUUUAUUUUGAUCCAUAAUUUUUGAUUAUAAGAUUAAUUUACCUUAGGGAUAACAGCGUAAUUUUUUCGGAGAGUUCAUAUCGAUGAAUAAGUUUGCGACCUCGAUGUUGAAUUAAGAUAAGAUUUAGGUGAAAAGUUUUAAAUUUUCUUGGUCUGUUCGACCAUUAAAUUCUUACAUGAUUUGAGUUAAGACCGGCGUGAGCCAGGUCGGUUUCUAUCCUUAUUUUUAUAUAAAUUAGUACGAAAGGACCAUUUAUUUUAAUAAUUAUUAUUUAAUUUGAUUAAAAUU
Molecule: ribosomal RNA, 1227 nt
Filed under: Oiovelia cunucunumana
Lineage: Eukaryota; Metazoa; Arthropoda; Insecta; Hemiptera; Veliidae
Description: partial 16S ribosomal RNA
Rfam family: Archaeal large subunit ribosomal RNA (bases 987-1147)
Source: RNAcentral